This 73-nucleotide transfer RNA is filed under the name Paramuricea clavata. It matches the Rfam family "tRNA". From Rfam's summary of the family: Transfer RNA (tRNA) molecules are approximately 80 nucleotides in length. Their secondary structure includes four short double-helical elements and three loops (D, anti-codon, and T loops). Further hydrogen bonds mediate the characteristic L-shaped molecular structure. tRNAs have two regions of fundamental functional importance: the anti-codon, which is responsible for specific mRNA codon recognition, and the 3' end, to which the tRNAs corresponding amino acid is attached (by aminoacyl-tRNA synthetases). tRNAs cope with the degeneracy of the genetic code in two manners: having more than one tRNA (with a specific anti-codon) for a particular amino acid; and 'wobble' base-pairing, i.e. permitting non-standard base-pairing at the 3rd anti-codon position. Lineage: Eukaryota; Metazoa; Cnidaria; Anthozoa; Malacalcyonacea; Plexauridae. The record is from Rfam by way of RNAcentral.
GACCGCGUAGCUCAGUUGGAAGAGAAUUGGGCCAGUAUUCCAAAGGUCGUAGGUUCGAAUCCCACCGUGGCCG